RNAcentral lists this ribosomal RNA (644 nucleotides) under Campylobacter upsaliensis. RNAcentral describes it as "bacterial SSU rRNA". It matches the Rfam family "Bacterial small subunit ribosomal RNA", at positions 888 to 1533 of the family's 1533-position model. Lineage: Bacteria; Pseudomonadati; Campylobacterota; Epsilonproteobacteria; Campylobacterales; Campylobacteraceae. The record is from RNAcentral.
GCAAGAUUAAAACUCAAAGGAAUAGACGGGGACCCGCACAAGCGGUGGAGCAUGUGGUUUAAUUCGAAGAUACGCGAAGAACCUUACCUAGGCUUGAUAUCCAACAAAUUCUGUAGAGAUACGGAAGUGCUAGCUUGCUAGAAUGUUGAGACAGGUGCUGCACGGCUGUCGUCAGCUCGUGUCGUGAGAUGUUGGGUUAAGUCCCGCAACGAGCGCAACCCUCGUCCUUAGUUGCUAACGAUUCGGUCGAGCACUCUAAGGAGACUGCCUUCGUAAGGAGGAGGAAGGUGGGGACGACGUCAAGUCAUCAUGGCCCUUACGCCUAGGGCGACACACGUGCUACAAUGGCAUAUACAAUGAGACGCAAUACCGCGAGGUGGAGCAAAUCUAUAAAAUAUGUCCCAGUUCGGAUUGUUCUCUGCAACUCGAGAGCAUGAAGCCGGAAUCGCUAGUAAUCGCAAAUCAGCCAUGUUGCGGUGAAUACGUUCCCGGGUCUUGUACUCACCGCCCGUCACACCAUGGGAGUUGAUUUCACUCGAAGUGGAAAUACUAAACUAGUUAUCCCCCACAGUGGAAUCAGCGACUGGGGUGAAGUCGUAACAAGGUAACCGUAGGAGAACCUGCGGUUGGAUCACCUCCUUUCU